AGGAGGAGCAAUCCACUAUAAAUCCAUCCCGAAAAAUAGGUACAAUAUGAGGUAUAAAAUACCUUUAUCCGAAACCAACAAGAAGGCAACAAAAUAUCGAAUAGAAGGCAACCAAGAUCCAAUCGGAUCAACCAAUCUCAGCCUCGGCAAUAGAUCAAGAUAAAACAAUACCUGAGAUGAAGAUACCUUCCUCAACCCUCGACAAAAAAUCAAGAUGAAUACCUCCUUACCAACCGAAGCAGCACAAGGCAUCCGUGAAACCG
This 263-nucleotide long non-coding RNA is filed under the name Elaeis guineensis (African oil palm). RNAcentral describes it as "long non-coding RNA (EGUI_LNC018193)". Lineage: Eukaryota; Viridiplantae; Streptophyta; Magnoliopsida; Arecales; Arecaceae. The record is from RNAcentral.